GACGAACGCUGGCGGCGUGCCUAAUACAUGCAAGUUGAGCGAUGAAGAUUGGUGCUUGCACCAAUUUGAAGAGCAGCGAACGGGUGAGUAACGCGUGGGGAAUCUGCCUUUGAGCGGGGGACAACAUUUGGAAACGAAUGCUAAUACCGCAUAACAACUUUAAACAUAAGUUUUAAGUUUGAAAGAUGCAAUUGCAUCACUCAAAGAUGAUCCCGCGUUGUAUUAGCUAGUUGGUGAGGUAAAGGCUCACCAAGGCGAUGAUACAUAGCCGACCUGAGAGGGUGAUCGGCCACAUUGGGACUGAGACACCGCCCCAACUCCUACGGGAGGCAGCAGUAGGGAAUCUUCGGCAAUGGACGAAAGUCUGACCGAGCAACGCCGCGUGAGUGAAGAAGGUUUUCGGAUCGUAAAACUCUGUUGGUAGAGAAGAACGUUGGUGAGAGUGGAAUGCUCAUCAAGUGACGGUAACUACCCAGAAAGGGACGGCUAACUACGUG
This 497-nucleotide ribosomal RNA is filed under the name uncultured bacterium. RNAcentral's name for it is "partial 16S ribosomal RNA". It matches the Rfam family "Bacterial small subunit ribosomal RNA", at positions 28 to 507 of the family's 1533-position model. The record is from RNAcentral.